Molecule: transfer RNA, 75 nt
Filed under: Candidatus Berkelbacteria bacterium CG10_big_fil_rev_8_21_14_0_10_41_12
Lineage: Bacteria; Candidatus Berkelbacteria
Description: tRNA-His
Rfam family: tRNA
About the family: Transfer RNA (tRNA) molecules are approximately 80 nucleotides in length.
Source: RNAcentral
GUGGUCGUAGCUCAAUAGUAGAGCGCUUGCCUGUGGAGCAAGUGGUUACGGGUGCAAUCCCCGUCGACCACCCCA